This is a long non-coding RNA of Oncorhynchus tshawytscha (Chinook salmon), 514 nucleotides long. NCBI's taxonomy places the organism in Eukaryota, Metazoa, Chordata, Actinopteri, Salmoniformes, Salmonidae. The record is from Ensembl.
CACAUUUUGGGCAGAGGUGACUGGACUCAAUCAGUGACGAAUGAUCAAUGAAGUUGAAUGGAAUCAUCAAUUAAAGGAGAAAUGAAAUCCCACAGAUGAUGGGGCCAUGCAGUAUAAAGUUCUAGGAGAGGAAGAAAAACAGAAAUAGGAAACAAUGGUUGAAGUGCAGUUGAAAGGUACAGGGGGGAGAAUGAACAGAAUGUGGAGGAGAGAGAAAGUGAAGAGGAGAGAGAAAGUGAAGAGGAGAGAGAAAGUGAAGAGGAGAGAGAAAAUAAAGAGGAGAGAGAAAGUAAAGAGGAGAGAGAAAGUAAAGAGGUUAGAGAAAGUGAAGUGGAGAGAGAAAGUGAAGUGGAGAGAGAAAGUGAAGAGGAGAGAGAAAGUGAAGAGGAGAGAGAAAGUGAAGAGGAGAGAGAAAGUGUAGAGGAGAGAGAAAGUGAAGAGGAGAGAGAAAGUGAAGAGGAGAGAGAAAGUGAAGAGGAGAGAGAAAGUGAAGAGGAGAGAGAAAGUGAAGAGG